RNAcentral lists this long non-coding RNA (513 nucleotides) under Parus major (Great Tit). Its description in RNAcentral is "lncRNA (ENSPMJG00000000886.1)". Lineage: Eukaryota; Metazoa; Chordata; Aves; Passeriformes; Paridae. The record is from RNAcentral.
UUUACAGGGGUUAUGUGCUGCCUGGUGAAGUUCAUGUCUGAGCAACCCCUCUUCUGAAGGAGACUCCAAAAAAACAGUUUGUUUCUGGCAGCUGCCCCUUUCUGAAGUUGUGUCUUCUGGGUCAGAGAUGAAAGGAGCUGGCUGUAACCCUGUGCAACUGAAACCCUUUUUCCGAAGGCCUGGACCUGAGUCAACUGAACUUCUCCAGUGUGUGGUGAUCAUUGAAUUGGACUUGGAGACAUGAAAAAAGCUGCUGGAAAACUUGGAGCUGGCUCUGAAUUGCCAUUCAAGCAAUUUGUGUUAAAAAAGGCUGCCAGCUCAAGGAGAUGGUGGAAAAUGAGCCAAAAGCAUGGUGUGAGUCAAGAGGCACUGAAGUGCUGCCAAGCAUCGAUUCCCACCGUGGCAGGAAGGACUCCCUCCCGGGGUGGUGAAUUCCAAAGGAAUGGCUCUGUGGUGGCUGGCACCGGCUGCAGCAGGAAAGUCACACCGAGACAGGAACAGGGCAGCAGGUAA